This 2645-nucleotide ribosomal RNA is filed under the name Benthoecetes bartletti. Its description in RNAcentral is "partial 28S ribosomal RNA". The stretch from base 1 to 2175 matches the Rfam family "Eukaryotic large subunit ribosomal RNA". Lineage: Eukaryota; Metazoa; Arthropoda; Malacostraca; Decapoda; Benthesicymidae. The record is from RNAcentral.
AAGGGCGACUGAAACGGGAUCAGCCCAGCGCAAAGCCUCGUGCCACCUAAACAGGGCACGAGGGGUGCUGCGUUCGGGAGAGGUCUUGCACGCGGUCCCGCGCCGCCUAAGUUGUACAUGAAUGACUCUAAUACCCACGGAGGGUGUCAGGCCCGUGUGGCGGUCAUACAUACCCCGAAGGGGGGAAGGUCUGGGACUGCGGAAUGGGCCUCUCCUUAGAGUCGGGUUGCCUGAAAGUGCAACCUAAAGUAGGUGGUAAACUCCAUCUAAGGCUAAAUACGACCACGAGACCGAUAGCGAACAAGUACCGUGAGGGAAAGUUGAAACAGAACCCUGUAGAGAGAGUUCAAGAGAACGUGAAACCGUUAAGAGGCUAAACGGGUGGAGAUUCGAAGAUCGAACUGGGGGGAUUCAGUCCGUCCGGUAGUCCGGGAGAGGCGGGUUCGUAAGGCGACCCCCUGGUGGAGGCGGCGGCAGUUCUGCUGCAGCCGUUUUCGCCUAGGGGGCGCGGCCCGUCCCCUGCUCGGCGCUGGCGGGCGAUGUUCCCCCCGCAGUAGGUCGCCGCGAUGCGUUGGGAGGGCGUCUGAGGCCCGGGUUUGGUAGGAACCGGCGUCGGGGUCAGGCCGCUAACCCGCUCGUCGGGGGUCUGACCGCGGCGUCUGGGGAUCCCCCGGUGUUCCGAACGGCUGCUGCUGCUACAGCUCCGCGUCCCCUCGUCUUGCUCUCCCGACGGUCGCUCCUUGGGGCGGUGGGCUCUAAACGGCCCCCGCCUUUCGCGGCGUGCAAAGAGUCGAGGCUCUACCCGACCCGUCUUGAAACACGGACCAAGGAGUCCAACAUGUAUGCGAGUCAUUGGGCUGACUAAACCCACAGGCGCAAUAAAAGUGAUUAAAAGCCAGCCAGUCUGUUACUACAACAGCUGCUGCAGGGCCGAUCCCUUCGGGCCGUUUUGACUUGGGUCUACUUGUCCCCCGGACGGAGUUGAGACACCUUGCCUUCCUCCCCGGGGUCCACUGAGUUGACGAUGAGAAGAACCCAUCUGGUCCGGUCUGCUACGCCUCCAGCUCCUCUGCCUUGCAAGGGUUGGAGGGGGGCGCAGGUCCGGGACUCGCCAUGACGAACAGCUGGCUUCGCUUCUGCCGGUGUUUGGGGGUGGGGCGGGCUGUCUCACAAGAUCGUUCGCGGUUGGACGGGACGCCCAAUCCCCCAUUCUCUCCUCGCCGCAGCGGCUGCUGCUGGAUGUGUCGGCGAGUACCUAGAGCAUAAAUGUUGGUACCCGAAAGAUAGUGAACUAUGCCUGGCCAGGAUGAAGCCAGGGGAAACCCUGGUGGAGGUCCGUAGCGAUUCUGACGUGCAAAUCGAUCGUCAGAGCUGGGUAUAGGGGCGAAAGACCAAUCGAACUAUCUAGUAGCUGGUUCCCUCCGAAGUUUCCCUCAGGAUAGCUGGCACUCGUACACAACGAGUUUCAUCCGGUAAAGCGAAUGAUUAGGGGUGUUGGGGACGAAAUGUCCUCAGCCUAUUCUCAAACUUUAAAUGGGUGAGGUGCCGGGCUUGCUUUGUGUGCCCUCCCUUCUUCUCCUCCCUGUGGGGAGUUGAGGCAGCGGCCUUGAAGCCCCGGACACGAAUCGGAGUGCUUAGUGGGCCAAUUUUGGUAAGCAGAACUGGCGCUGUGGGAUGAACCAAACGUCGAGUUAAGGGGCCUAAAUGGAUGCUAAUUCCGAUACCAUGGAAGGGAGUUGCUUGCUAUAGACAGCAGGACGGUGGCCAUGGAAGUUGGAAUCCGCUAAGGAGUGUGUAACAACUCACCUGCCGAAGCAAGUAACCCUGAAAAUGGCAUGGCGCUCAAGCAUUCUCCCGAUACUCGACCGCCGGGUGCACUAUGGCUGCAACAAGGAGGUCUCGAGGCCCCGGUGAGUAGGAGGAGCGCGGUGGUGAGCGUUGAAGGAUUCGGCGUGAGCCGGUCUGGAGCCUCCACUGGUGCGGAUCUUGGUGGUAGUAGCAAAUAUUCGAGCGAGACCACCCUCGUUGACCGAUGCGGAGAAGGGUUCCACGCCAACAUCGCUUGGUCGUGGGUUAGUCGUACCUAAGCCCGGGGAUAGCAUCCCGAUUUACUAGGCGUUCUGGCUUUCCUGUCCCAAAAAAGUCAACCUAACCAAACCCUGGUAUGAUCGAUGUCCAAGUCUCGCACCUCGCACGAGUAUUCUUCCAACCCCCUCCCGUCCCCCUUCCCUCCUUAGGGGGGGCUCUUCGGGGGAUGUGGAGUUUCUAUGCUUUAGUUACCGUGCGAAGAGGGAAGAACGAGUACGCUCUUCUUUCACUUUCUUGGGUGGAGCUUGCGACGGCGGCUGCUUCCGCCGCCCCAGUCCUUGAGCGAUAAACAUUAUAUAUAUUACCCCGCCAACAUUCUCAGCCCUAUGAGAUAUUUCUUGCCGCAGCUCAUGGCGGCUAGCGAGGCUCGCUCGGGCUCGCUAGCUGCUGUUUCUACAGCAGCAUUCAAGCCGGCUGGCGGGAGGCUAAGUGUUCUAUUCGCCUCUGGGCGGUUUUGUAGGAGCCGCUUAUGACACGUUAUUAUGUUGCGUGUGAUGUUGCUUUCUAUAUAGAGCGUCUGUUUCUAAAGUCCAGAUCAUGGCGAGGGGGAAUCCGGU